Molecule: ribosomal RNA, 253 nt
Filed under: uncultured bacterium
Lineage: Bacteria
Description: partial 16S ribosomal RNA
Rfam family: Bacterial small subunit ribosomal RNA
Source: RNAcentral
UACAGAGGGGGCAAGCGUUGUUCGGAAUUACUGGGCGUAAAGGGCGCGUAGGCGGCCUUCUAAGUCGAACGUGAAAUCCCUGGGCUCAACCCAGGAACUGCGUCCGAUACUGGAAGGCUUGAAUCCGGGAGAGGGAUGUGGAAUUCCAGGUGUAGCGGUGAAAUGCGUAGAUAUCUGGAGGAACACCGGUGGCGAAGGCGGCAUCCUGGACCGGCAUUGACGCUGAGGCGCGAAAGCCAGGGGAGCAAACGGG